GCUGUAACUCUGCAUGUUGUAUGCCUCAGAAAAAAAGCUGUCUGCUGACAUCAUCCGAAGUGGUAGUCUGAUCCAAUCACAAUGCUUCCCCAUAGGAUUGGCUGAGACUGACAAAGAGGCAGAUCAGGAGCAGAGCCAGCAUGAUUCAAACACAGCCCUGGACAAUCAGCAUCUCCUCGUAGAGAUUAAUUGAAUCAAUGAAUCUCUAUGAGGAAGGUUCAGUGUCUGCAUGCAGAGGGAGGAGACACUGAAUGUUUGGAUGAAUUUUAGGCAGCCAUGACCCAGGAAGGAUCUCUAACAGUCAUCUGAGGAGUGACCAGUGAAGUUAUCACUAGGCGGUAAUGUAAACACUGCAUUUUCUCUGACAAGACAGUGUUUACAGCAAAAAGCCUGGAGGUAAUGAUUCUAAUCAGAACAAAUGCAAUAAGCUGUAGUUGUUCUGGUGACUAAAGUGUCCCUUUAAGGGUGGUCAUCUCCUCCCUCAUUAUUUCCAUGGAGCACCACUUGCAUGUCUUUCAAUAGAGCUUUGAUGCCAGUCUUAGAGGAGAGGGCUUCAUCCCUUUGGAUUGUAGAGUGAGGUGGACUGACCCGUAUAUUUGUUAAAGCUGGUAAGUCUUCCUCCAGGCUGUAGUCCUCCAAAGAUGCUGAGGAGUCUGGCGCUUCAAUAUCGCGGGACCCAGAUGGCCUGUAGGUAAGAACUGACCAACUAAUCCAUUGGGAUGAAGUGAAAGCACGGCAGGUGGUACUAUAGACAUAAAGCGUGAAGUUCAUAUAAGACAAGUCCAUCUCUGAUGAGUACUGGCGCCGUCGCCCAGUUCAGCUAUUUUUACUUAAAUUUGCAAUUCUCUUAGCAUUCUCCAUUUAAUGAAAAAGCCUGUUGGAUAAUUUUUCCAGUUUACCUAUUUUAACCUUAAAUCUUAAAUUCACUUUGAAUUCUCACUUUAGUGAAUAGCCCUUUUAGUCUCAAUAGUCUAUAUAGUCUGAGUCAAGGUGCAUGUAAAUGGCUGAAAGAUCAUGUCAUAUAAUAAAGGUAGGGGUGAGUUCUUUUAUUUUUAUUUACAAUUAUACUUAAAAUGAUUUCCUUUCAAAACUUGAAAGCAUUAAACCUUUAAAAUAGUUUUGAGGUGUCAGUAGCUGCCUGAAUUAUAAAGAAAAAAUAUUAAAUAAACAAUUUCCACCAACCAUGGAGAUCUGGGGGGUAAAGACCUUACUUUAGGGGUUUUAUCCUCCAUAGCUCCACUAGCAUGGCUUAUGGCAGUAGUUAAUGUAUGGUGGUUAUGAAUACUUGAUGUGUGCCUUUAACAAUGUAAACCAAUAAUAGAUAUGGUUGUUGGAGCAGUAUGAGAGCCAAAUGAAAAACAAUAAACUUGCUUAUCUCAUUUAUGC
Molecule: non-coding RNA, 1386 nt
Organism: Pelobates cultripes (western spadefoot toad)
Lineage: Eukaryota; Metazoa; Chordata; Amphibia; Anura; Pelobatidae
Source: the annotation of a GenBank genome assembly